This 265-nucleotide ribosomal RNA is filed under the name uncultured bacterium. RNAcentral describes it as "partial 16S ribosomal RNA". It matches the Rfam family "Bacterial small subunit ribosomal RNA", at positions 524 to 786 of the family's 1533-position model. The record is from RNAcentral.
UACGUAGGGUGCGAGCGUUAAUCGGAAUUACUGGGCGUAAAGCGUGCGCAGGCGGUUGUGCAAGACAGGCGUGAAAUCCCCGGGCUCAACCUGGGAAUGGCGCUUGUGACUGCACGGCUGGAGUGCGGCAGAGGGGGAUGGAAUUCCGCGUGUAGCAGUGAAAUGCGUAGAUAUGCGGAGGAACACCGAUGGCGAAGGCAAUCCCCUGGGCCUGCACUGACGCUCAUGCACGAAAGCGUGGGGAGCGAAACAAGGAUUAGAUACC